This is a long non-coding RNA of Triticum aestivum (bread wheat), 1680 nucleotides long. RefSeq lists it as uncharacterized. The record is from RefSeq and is a predicted model, not a curated record. The transcript is spliced from 3 exons. NCBI's taxonomy places the organism in Eukaryota, Viridiplantae, Streptophyta, Magnoliopsida, Poales, Poaceae.
CCGACUCCUCUCCAAUCCCGCCGCUGGCGGACUACCACCCCCACCGGCGACCUCCCUCCCUCCCUUCCUCCUGAGAUCUACGGAUGUGGCAACAGCGGCCGAAACCCACCCAUCGCCCAUGGAUGGAUGGGGACGGGGCACCGACGGCGGAUCCGCACCCACCUUCUCUCGGGGGAUCCUGCCGCGAUGGCCCUGGUGAUUUGCUACUGCAUCGUCUACUGCUUCAACCACGACGCCGUCAUCUACUGCUUGAACCACGAUGUCGGUUCUUCGUCGACCUCCACCACGCGCGCUGGCAUCCGUCCAUCUCCGGCCAUGGUGACCGCGGAUCUCCGACCAUGAUGGGGUAAGGAGUUGAAAGGCGCAGGUGGUCAGGCCUGCAAUGAGUGCGCCCUCCUGGUCUGCCGCCCUUGCUAUGAGUAUGAACAUGAGGAUGGCGUACAACAAGGAGUUGACGGCCUACUCAAGCGCCAAGGGAAGGCGGCAGGCUGGCAGCGCCACCAAGAGCCCAACACGAACCUCCAAUAUUGAGUCCUACCUGUAAUUCACGGAUAAGGUUGGUUGUGCCCCUCUGCUGGAGGAUCUCAGUCCAACUACUCUGGAUGCAUCUAUGACAUGGUGGACAAGGCAGUAGAAGCAUGUGACAUGGCAGCCAAGGGAGUUGUUUUGUGGGAUGAAGUGUUGGUAAAGACAACAAGCCCCAAGGAUCUGCAUAUGCGUUGCAAGUAACUCUGCCGCAACCGCGGCCGGCUGUGCUUCUUCCUUGGCUACAAAUCACCUAGGUGAGCUCUAUCCCUCUCUGUGGUGCUUCUGGUGGCCUUGUACUGGUGAUUGUGGUGUUGUGCUCUGACCAGUGGCAUGAUUUACGCACUAUGGCAAUUUUAGGUUUAGGGAAAAUAUGCACUGUUGCUCCUGAUCAAACCAAUUGGCCAAUAUCCAGUUAUCCUGCUAUGUGUAUGGAUUUGUUUAUGUGGAUUUGGUCUAAUCUAUGUCCUCCUGUUGAUCUACUGGUCCGUGUGUGUGUGUGUGUGUGUGUGUGUGUGUGUGUGUGUGUGUGUGUGUGUGGAGUAAAGUUGUGGUUUGUGCUUCUCCUUUGUAACAUGAUGAAACAAGCACCUGUAGCGUCUGAGUUAGUGGGUGUUUGUCUACAUGGUAAAGCUUCUUUGCCAUGUAUUUCAUAAGGAUGUGAACAAUCUACUACAUGCUCACAAAGCUAUUGACUUAAAUUUUUUGUUUCUUUGCUGUCAAUGUUCGCCAAGCUAUUUAAACGACGAUGACAAAAGGAAAUCAUGAAUACUCAUAUAGAAACUAUAUGGUAAUAACUAUACACGUUAUCAUUGAGUUUGCUGUGUGUUUAUAGAAUGACAUGGUUAGCUAAUUAAGCCCUGUCCGUGUAUCUUUUAGAAUUUGCUUCAUUGGUAGCACAUUCAGAUAUAUUAAUUAAUUUUGUGCAUGUUGGAGAAUUUAGACGAUGAUAACAAACCGUAAUCACGAAUACUUGUAUAGAAACUUGCACGACCAUCUUGUUUAAUUUUGUGAUAUUCCUCCAUACUAGGAGUUAAUCAGCUGAACUGUUAUUCAGCUUUCAUUGGCAGUUUUAAUUUCACUGAAAUCAUCUUUUCUUUUCUAUGCUCAUGCUCAAGCCUGGUAGUAUAUUUUUUUCCAAAUGGUCUGUUUAUU